AGCGACAGAAGAAGACACCGGCUAACUCCGUGCCAGCAGCCGCGGUAAUACGGAGGGUGCGAGCGUUAAUCGGAAUUACUGGGCGUAAAGCGCAUGCAGGUGGUUUGUUAAGUCAGAUGUGAAAGACCCGGGGCGUCAACCUACGGAAUAGCAUUUGUAAACUAGGCAGACUAGAGUACUGUAGAGGGGGGUAGGAAGUUUCAGGUGUAGCGGUGAAAUGCGUAGAGAUCUGAAGGAAUACCGGUGGCGAAGGCGGCCCCCUGGACAGAUACUGACACUCAGAUGCGAAAGCGUGGGGAGCAAACAGGAUUAGAUACCCUGGUAG
This 325-nucleotide ribosomal RNA is filed under the name uncultured bacterium. Its description in RNAcentral is "bacterial SSU rRNA". It matches the Rfam family "Bacterial small subunit ribosomal RNA", at positions 477 to 793 of the family's 1533-position model. The record is from RNAcentral.